Long non-coding RNA from Ictalurus punctatus (channel catfish), 1146 nucleotides. The record is from Ensembl. Lineage: Eukaryota; Metazoa; Chordata; Actinopteri; Siluriformes; Ictaluridae.
CCGAUGCUUCCUGGGAUAGGCUCCAGGUUCCCCGUGACCCUGAAGGAAGGAUAAGCAGUGAUGGAUGGAUGGAUAACUUGCUUAUUACCUGCUUAUAAUUUGGACUUGUCAGUGUAGCAAUAACUGCGUGAGGUCUGUGCAAUCACGCCACACACUGUAUCUAGUCUAAUCUGUGAAAGUUCGGGUGUUGACGCUGGGGUAUGCUGAUAGUGAUGCGGUUUGGUUUGGGACGGAGCUGCUGUCCGUGUAAUUUAGGAAGCCGUUUGGGAUUUUAGUGAGGAGUGCAGAUGCAGCGAGGACUUGCGCUUUAAGCCCGUCCCAAAUCAUCAUGAAGGGGGGCGCGGACACUCCAAAACUCCAGUGCGUAAAAGUUGAUCCACAUGGGUUAUGCGCGCACACCGGGCAUCCGCGUGAAGGCUUUUUAAUCCGAUUUUUUCCUUCUUAUUAAAAAAAAUUAAAUGCCUCCUUAACACCGCGGAUUUUAUCCUUCAAGACCUGUCAGGAUUGGAGUGAUUGAAGUGUUUUCUGUGGACUGACCGAUGGAAACAUGAGCCGAUUUUAUUAUCGCAUGCUUCUUUUCCCAUUUACUCUCUUCAGUACUGUUUUACUUCCGACUUCUGGAAAAUCCCAAAAUGAAGCUGACAGAAACGGGGUGUACCCCGCCUUGUACCCCAUGCUCCCUGGAAUAGGCUCCACUCUCCCGAAGACCCUGUAGGAUAAACGAGAAGAAUGUCCUGACAAUAAGAUUUUAACAGUGGAGUAUCCGUGUAUCAGAGCAGGAGGAGAGCGUGGCACAUGCCUCAGGAGGAAGUGCUGUAAAGGUUUCAGGUUCGUCAUGGGCCAGUGUGUACCAGAAAGUAGGUAAAAUCUUGUUUUGUUUUAUUUUUUAAAUUCUCAUCAGCUUUUUAAAUUCACACACUCUGCGGUUAUUAAAACUGAUUAACUACAUGUUCUCAGUUCGUUUCAUUAUAUUUCAUUAUAUUUGAUCAAUCGACCUUUUAAAUAAAGUACUUUCAGUGCGGUAUCAGGUCGCAAUGCUCUUCUUGACCACCAGGGGGAUUAUAUUAUAUUGUAAAUACUGUACAUAGACAUGAACAGAUAUACUGUAUGUACUGUGUGUGUGUGUGUGUGUGUGUGUGUGUGUGU